This 460-nucleotide ribosomal RNA is filed under the name uncultured bacterium. RNAcentral describes it as "partial 16S ribosomal RNA". It matches the Rfam family "Bacterial small subunit ribosomal RNA", at positions 338 to 795 of the family's 1533-position model. The record is from RNAcentral.
CCUACGGGUGGCAGCAGUGAGGAAUAUUGGGCAAUGGCCGGAAGGCUGAACCAGCCAUGCCGCGUGAAGGACAGGGCCCUAUGGGCGUUAAACUUCUUUUGUGCGGGAGCAAUAAUGGUCACGUGUGGCCAGACGAGAGUACCGUACGAAUAAGCAUCGGCUAACUACGUGCCAGCAGCCGCGGUAAGACGGGGGAUGCAAGCGUUAUCCGGAUUUAUUGGGGUUAAAGGGGGCGUAGGUUGUGAGGUAAGUCAGCGGUGAAAUGCCCCGGCUCAACGGGGUGAAGUGCCAUUGAUACUGCCUGGCUGGAGUGCGGAUGCGGUGGGAGGAAUGUGUGGUGUAGCGGUGAAAUGCAUAGAUAUCACACAGAACACCGAUUGCGAAGGCAUCUCACGAAUCCGCGAUUGACGCUGAUGCACGAAAGCGUGGGUAUCAAACAGGAUUAGAUACCCCAGUAGUC